CGGACACACUGAGGAUUGACAGGAAGUAUCGUCUUUUGAAUUCUUUAAGGAUAUGUCGUUUUUAAUGACAUCUUUUAGAUGGAUGAUUCGUGUAAAUAUGCUAGUUCUUUCAUGAUUAUGUGAUAGGUGGUGCAUGGCCGUUCUUAGUUCGUGGAGUGAUCUGUCUGCUUAAUUGCGUUUCACUAAGGCCCCAAAGUUAGCAAAUUAUCAAUCGUUACAGAGUCGACCCCUCACCUUUGAGUGCGCGUCCUAACUUGUAGUACAUGGUGUAAAUGGAUUUGUUUUGGGUACCCAGAAAGCAACGAACGUGACCGCAACGUCUUGUUGUCUCUCUUUGACAGUUAUGGGUUAUCCCAGUCAUGUGUUUAUACUUUUAUGUGUAAAUACGUACGACACAGAGACUAGAUACCAAACUAGGCGUACCGCUGUAUCAUUUCUUUAAACCAGAGGAAGGUUGCGGC
Molecule: ribosomal RNA, 461 nt
Filed under: Neogloboquadrina incompta
Lineage: Eukaryota; Foraminifera; Rotaliida; Globorotaliidae
Description: bacterial SSU rRNA
Rfam family: Eukaryotic small subunit ribosomal RNA
Source: RNAcentral